UAGUGGUGUUAGCUAAAAGAUGUCUUCUAAAUAUCUUAAGAGGGUGCAAUUCCCUCAUCACUUU
This 64-nucleotide transfer RNA is filed under the name Proales similis. RNAcentral describes it as "tRNA-Ser". Lineage: Eukaryota; Metazoa; Rotifera; Eurotatoria; Ploima; Proalidae. The record is from RNAcentral.